Helianthus annuus (common sunflower) is the source of this 1442-nucleotide long non-coding RNA. RefSeq lists it as uncharacterized. NCBI's taxonomy places the organism in Eukaryota, Viridiplantae, Streptophyta, Magnoliopsida, Asterales, Asteraceae. The record is from RefSeq and is a predicted model, not a curated record. The transcript is spliced from 3 exons.
ACUGCUUGAGAAGUUGAGUUUGAUUGACUGCUUCUCAUAGUCAAAUAAAGAUUUUGUAUUUCAUGCCUGAAUCUCAAGAUUCUGAGAAUUCGUAACCGGAAUAUGGAUUAUACCGAAAGGUUUGGUGGUGGUUCGGAUGAUAAUGAGGGCUUGUGUGUCGGCCUUCGGAUUUGUUGCCUGAAACUGGUGUGUUUGGAGUAUUUGUUAUAGGCUAUAAUAGUUGGAGUAUUAUCGGCAAUCAGUGACAUAGUUUCUCAGAAGCUCUCUGGCAUCCAGAAACUGCAAAUCCGUCGUCUUCUUCUCAAAGUGCUUUUCGGGUUUUCAUAUCUUGGACCAUUUGGGCAUUACUACCACAUAUUGUUGGAUAAGUUGUUCAAGGGCAAAAAAGACUCGACAACGGUUGCCAAAAAGGUAUUCUAUUGAGCCUUUUUCUUGGUUUUAUGUUGAGUCUAUUGAGUCUGACCUAUUUGGGUCAAGGGGGAUUCUGAGCGUUUUGGGUUGGGUUGGAAUGAUAGGGUGUUGGGGUCUUGAGUUUAUUGGGGUUUGCUUAGAUGGUUGUAGAUUAUUGAGAUGGAGUUGCUGUAAUAUGUAGGUUGUAGAAUAUGAUGCAAGUUUUUUUUAGAAUUGUUUAAAUUGUGCUGGUUGAUAGUAGUGUCUUGGUGUAAUGGGCAAAAUCUAAGGAGUAAUGGAAAAAAUGAGUUAGAGUGGCAGGGGUAUAAUGUGAACACUGGGAAAAUUCUGAAAUGGGAAGAUUGGGGCCUGAAUGUUUGCAUUAUUGUAGUCAUGAGACAGUUUAAAAGUAUGUGCAAAGGUAGCAGGAGCCGUCAUAACUGUCCUUUGUUUUUUGGUUGUCGGGGUAUUUUGGGUAUAUUGUAAAGUAUGAUAGUAUGAGACAGAUGCAGAUAUUUCGGAUGACUGAUUAUAGAGAUGGUAAUAUGAGAUAUGGAGUUAAUAAGAGACUCAGGGAGUGGAAAGAGGAUAUAGAAAUGGGUCAAAGAAAUGACUAUUGUUGGAGGUGCAAGUAUAAAUUUGCUGUUUGUUAAUGUUUUGGAUUAUAUGAAAAUGAGAUUGGAUUAUUAGUGUCUCACCGAGGAGAAAACAAUAUGAUUGGUUGUUUUGGGGUCUAAUUGGGGGUUAUAAAGAGCAUAUACUUGUGAUUUGGGCCGUGGCUAAUAGAGAUGGGAUUGGGGGUUAUAAAGAGUAUAAGCUGAGAGGUACUAUAUGUAAAUGGAUAAUGUUGGGAUUGAAGAAUAUAAAAAUAGAGGGCCAUAGGCAGGAUGUUGGGAUUGAUUUUGGAAAUACAAUGGACAUUCGAAGUAAAAGUGGGUGGCUUAGUUGUCCUGAGUUGGAAUUGUAUUUUUUUUAAUGAUUCAGCUUGCGACUUAUAUAAUUUAAAUUGAUAUAAAAACAAUCGGAUUCAUUAUACGUAUAACUUUCGAAAA